GUGCCAGCAGCCGCGGUAAUACGGGGGGGGCAAGCGUUGUUCGGAAUUACUGGGCGUAAAGGGCGCGUAGGCGGUCUACUAAGUUGGAUGUGAAAACUCUGGGCUUAACCCAGAGCCUGCAUUCAAAACUGAUAGGCUGGAGUUCUGGAGGGGAUAGCGGAAUUCCUGGUGUAGCGGUGAAAUGCGUAGAUAUCAGGAGGAACACCGGUGGCGAAGGCGGCUAUCUGGACAGAAACUGACGCUGAGGCGCGAAAGCUAGGGGAGCAAACAGGAUUAGAUACCCGCGUAGUCC
This 292-nucleotide ribosomal RNA is filed under the name uncultured bacterium. RNAcentral describes it as "partial 16S ribosomal RNA". It matches the Rfam family "Bacterial small subunit ribosomal RNA", at positions 505 to 796 of the family's 1533-position model. The record is from RNAcentral.